CCUUUUGAUAGUCCCUUCACAGACUAUAGAAUAAGCACUUACUAACUACGUGCCAGAAGUCUCGGUAAUACGUAGGGUGCAAGCGUUAUCCGGAUUUACUGGGCGUAAAGAGUGUGUAGGCGUCCUUUUAAGUUCUUAUUGAAAGACUGAGGCUCAACCUCAGCAAGUGUAAGAAUACUGGAAGGAUUGAGGAUUAUUCGGGGUGCUGGAACAGCUGGUGUAGUAGUGAAAUACGUUGAUAUCAGCUGGAACACCGAAGGCGAAGGCAAGCACCUGGGAUUCUCCUGACGCUGAGACACGAAAGCUAGGGGAGCGAAAAGGAUUAGAGACCCUUGUAGUCCUAGCCGUAAACGAUGGAUGCUAGCUAGUGUGAUUUUUUGCACUGGCGCAAGCUAACGCGUUAAGCAUCCCGCCUGUGGAGUACGGUCGCAAGACUAAAACAUAAAGGAAUUGACGGGGACCCGCACAACCAGUGGAGCGUGUGGUUUAAUUCGAGACAAAGCGAAAAACCUCACCAAGGCUUGACAUGUAAGCGUUCUAUGCCUAAGAAACUAGGCAAAUCCGUAAGGAGGUUUACACAGGUGCUGCAUGGCUGUCGUCAGCUCGUGCCGUGAGGUGUUCCCUUAAGUGGGGAAACGAGUGCAACCCUUGUCUAAUGUUAAAUUGUUCAUUAGAGACUGCCCCGUUUUUUACGGGGAGGAAGGAAAGGCGGACGUCAAGUCAGCAUGGCCCUUAUGCCUUGGGCUACACACACCCUACAAUGGCGAAAAACAAAGAGUUUGCAAGUCCGCGAGGACAAGCUAAUCUCAUAAAUUUCGUCUCAGUUCGGAUUGGAGUCUGCAACUCGACUCCAUGAAGUCGGAA
Molecule: ribosomal RNA, 864 nt
Filed under: uncultured bacterium
Lineage: Bacteria
Description: bacterial SSU rRNA
Rfam family: Bacterial small subunit ribosomal RNA
Source: RNAcentral